CCACAAGUCUCUUAUUAUGUAGUAUUUAUGGAUCUCACUGAGGCAUUAAUGAGGUUAUGCCUUCCUACAAGUAAGGGUAUAUAUAGUGGAGCUUAAAGGAGUGGCAAUAACAGGGACGAGCAUAGUUGCAAUUCAUAUAUUGUAAAGUCAAACAACGGAUCCACAGAGAAUCAAGGCAUACAAUCAAAUCAAGAUGUGUGUGUAUGGAAUAUGGUGGAUAGGUGUACAUAUAGUAUUUAGUGGCUAAUCCUAAUUCUACUUUUGCUCUUUGAAAAUUACUCCCUCCUUAAAACUUUUCGCAGAAAAACAUGGGCUAUCUUUAUUCUCUCUCUCUUUUUUCAUUACUAUGGGAGUCGGGCAUCGAUGUACCCAUUGUUUUAAUUGCUGGGACACUUGUCCAUCUUUUACUCCACUUUUUUUUCUUUUCUUUUUUCCCCUUUUUUAUUUAAUACUUUUGCAUAGCCACAUGCAUCCUUUGAAUAUAAAUAAUUUUGGAGAUAAUGAUAAGAACUUAGAGCAAUGAAAUGGGGGCUGUCCUAUAGGGUCUAUUUUUGAGUGUUUACUCCUAGUGCAGGAGAAAACAUUAUUAAGAUGGAUCUGGAUGAGAAUGGAAAAUAAUUGUGCUUACUCCCAGAGUAGGAGCAAUGCCUAUGUAGGUGGAGUGCGUGAGUGAUCUUGAUUUUAAAAGCAUGACAAGACUCUCAUAAAGUAUACAACAAAGGUUGACUAAACUCACUACAAAGCAAGCAGCAUGAAUGUGCAAAAGGUUUUCCUAACUCUAAAUGUACCAUAUAUGGCUUUGGUAGGAGUUAACUUUAUCAUACAAGAGCUCAUCAUGUAAGGUUUUGGGUUUUCAAAAUAAAUCUCUAAAACUUAGUAAUGCUAGGAAUAAGAUAAAGAGCUACUAAGACCAUCAUGUAUCAUAUCAAUCAGUUACCUAGAUUUAGCUCAAGCAUAUGCCUCCACAAAUUUUAGGUUUAGAGUAAAUUAUCAAAGUGGUCAUG
This 1004-nucleotide long non-coding RNA is filed under the name Sorghum bicolor (sorghum). Its description in RNAcentral is "long non-coding RNA (SBIC_LNC014037)". The record is from RNAcentral. Lineage: Eukaryota; Viridiplantae; Streptophyta; Magnoliopsida; Poales; Poaceae.